UUUGCUAUACUUCAACAUAAUCAACAUAAAAUCUUUGAUAAACAUAGCGCGGCAAGAGACCCGUAAUACUACAAAACCAAACCGCCUUUGCACUUCGUACCGCCCAAACGCCCCCGUCGGAACCACCGCCACCACCACGACGAUCGACGAUCGACGACGGCGACAUUUGUAUAAAUGGGAAAACCAAAACAACAAGUAAUUUCCCGCUUCUUUGCACCAAAACCAAAGAACGAAAAAGACCCUUUAACUUCAACUUCAACCUCAACUCCUCCCUGUACUCCACCUCCCAAAAUUACUACCACCGUCACCUUUUCACCUGCAAAACGCCUCAGAACUUCUCAACUCACUUCUCCUCCUUCCACAAAACACACCAAAAUCCCUAAGCUAUCACCUCACGUACACAACCAACCCCCUCCUCUUCCUAACCCCACUCUCCACCAGAGGUUCCUGGAUAAACUUCUAGAACCAUCUAUCGACCGUCUGGAACCUUCCAAAUGUUAUGAUAUUCGAAACCCCAAGUACACACCAUUAGAGCAACAAGUUGUGGAGCUUAAGGCCAAGUAUCCAGACAUUUUAUUGAUGGUCGAAGUUGGUUAUAAGUACAGAUUUUUUGGUCAGGAUGCAGAAAAUGCUGCUAGGGUUUUAGGAAUUUAUGCACAUAUGGAUCACAAUUUCUUAACAGCUAGUGUACCGACUUUUCGGUUGAAUGUCCAUGUAAGGAGGCUGGUGAAUGCAGGAUACAAAGUUGGUGUUGUUAAACAAACGGAGACUGCUGCAAUUAAGGCACAUGGCUCAAAUAAAUUGGGCCCUUUUGGCCGUGAGUUAUCAGCAUUGUACACGAAAGCUACUCUGGAGGCUUCGGAAGAUGUAGGGGGUGGAGAUGAGGGGUUUGGGUCAUGUAAUAACUAUUUGGUUUGUGUUGUCGAGAAGGGAAUCGAGGAUGUUGAUUUUGGGAUUGAGGGUUGUAGGGGGAAUGAUGUGAAAAUCGGGGUUGUUGGGGUUGAGGUUUCGACCGGGGAUGUUGUUUAUGGGGAGUUUAAUGAUAAUUUUAUGAGGGCCGGGUUGGAGGCAUUGAUCCUCAACUUGUUGCCAGCUGAAUUGCUUGUUGGCAGGCCUAUAUCUAAGCAGUCAGAGAAGCUGCUACUGGCUUAUGCUGGACCGGCAUCUAAUGUUCGGGUGGAGGAUGUAUCAUCAGACCAGUUCAGUGAUGGCGGUGCUCUUGCUGAAGUGAUGUCUCUAUAUGAGGGCAUGCAGGAAAAUUAUUUGUUAAAUGUCCAAGAAAGGGAAGAGGCUGAGGUGAAAAUGCACGAACAGAAUCGAAUUGCAAUCCAGGGAAUUAUGGUAAUGCCUGGUCUGGCUAUACAAGCAUUGGCCUUAAUUAUUAGACAUCUAAAACAGUUUGGUUUGGAAAGAAUUCUGUGCUUGGGAGCUUCAUUUCGUCCCUUCUCUGGCAACAUGGAGAUGACCCUUUCAGCCAAUGCACUGCAGCAACUUGAGGUUUUGAAGAAUAAUUUUGACGGAUCUGAGUCUGGCUCCUUACUGCAUUGUAUGAAUCAGACACUUACCAUAUUUGGUUCAAGGCUUCUCAGGCAUUGGGUGACUCAUCCUUUAUGUGAUAGAAACAUGAUAGGUGCUCGUCUUGACGCAGUCUCAGAGAUUGCAGAAUCUAUGAAAACUUAUCGAACUUCUCAUACUUCUGUCUUAGAGGUGGAAGGUGCUGAUGUUACCAUUUUGCAACCAGAGAUACAUCAUAUAAUUUCUUCAGUUCUGUCCACUCUGGGAAGGUCACCAGAUAUCCAACGCGGGAUUACAAGAAUUUUUCACAAAAAAGCUACCGCAUCUGAGUUUAUUGCAGUCAUUCAAGCUAUCUUGACUGCUGCAAAACAACUUCAGCAGCUUUGGAUAGAAGAGUAUAAAAGUACGAAUCUACAAAGAGAGACCUUGCGCUCAGUACUGUUGAGAAAGUUAAUAUCAAUUGCCUCAUCGUCUACUGUUAUUAAUGCUGCUGCAAAGUUUUUGUCUGCUUUAAACAAGGAAGCCGCUGACAGACGAGAUCUUCACAAUUUAUUCUUCAUUUCUGACGGAAAGUUCCCUGAGGUUGCUGAAGGUACAAGGAGAGUUGAGUUGGCAAAUGAGAAGUUAGACUCAUUAAUUGUUGUGUAUCGCAAGCAGCUUCAUAUCCGCAAUUUGGAGUACAUGAGUGUAGCUGGAAUUACACAUUUGAUAGAGCUGCCUCUAGACACAAAGGUGCCGCCAGAUUGGGUGAAAGUGAACAGUACUAAGAAAGCAAUACGCUAUCAUCCACCAGAAGUAUUGGUGGCUUUAGAUGAAUUAGCAUUGGCAAAUGAGCAGCUCACUGUCGUUUGCCAAGCUGCUUGGAAUAAUUUUUUAACGAGGUUUGGUGGAUACUUUGCUGAGUUCCAAGCUGCUGUGCAGGCCCUGGCUUCAUUGGAUUGUCUAAAUUCUCUUGCCAUUCUUUCGAGGAAUAAGAAUUAUGUCCGUCCACUUUUUGUGAAAGAUGAUGAGGCUGUUCAGAUACAUAUUUUCUCUGGUCGUCACCCGGUUUUGGAGAGAGUAUUACAAGAGAACUUUGUCCCAAAUGAUACAGAUUUGCAUGCAGAAAGAGAGUAUUGUCAGAUUGUUACUGGACCAAAUAUGGGAGGAAAAAGCUGCUAUAUUCGCCAAGUUGCUCUCAUCACUUUGAUGGCUCAGGUUGGAUCCUUUGUUCCAGCGUUCUCUGCAAAACUGCAUGUGCUAGAUGGCAUAUAUACUCGCAUGGGUGCAUCCGACAGUAUACAGCAAGGAAGAAGUACAUUCUUAGAAGAACUCAGCGAGGCUUCUGAAAUACUGAAAAAAUGCUCAGCCAGCUCAUUGGUUAUACUUGAUGAACUUGGGAGAGGUACCAGUACACAUGACGGCGUAGCAAUUGCUUAUGCAACACUUCAGUAUCUCCUAGAACACAAGAAAUGCAUGAUUCUAUUUGUCACCCAUUACCCUGAAAUUGUCAGUAUCAAGAAUGAAUAUCCAGGCUCUGUGGGACCAUACCAUGUGUCAUAUCUGACAUCCCAAAGAGAAGUGAAUGGGGAUUUCAAGCCAAAUGAGAAGAUGGAUCACAUCAAUAGUGAAGACAUCACCUACCUUUACAAACUUGCACCAGGGGUCUGCGAGAGAAGUUUUGGUUUUAAAGUUGCUCAGCUUGCACAACUGCCGGUUGCGUGUAUUCAACGAGCCAUUGUAAUAGCUGGAAGACUAGAAGCAGCAGUCUCUAACUACACAGCGCAAAAUCGAACUAGAAGGAGCUCUUCGAUAAGUUAUAGCAAAGAUGGUUGUAAAGUAUCUGAACCAGUGGAGUAUGUCUUAGAACCUGAUUGCUUGUCUGCUGGAAGAGUUGAAAACUUAGAUGAUAUGAGCGAGCUUUACAGGGAGUUCUUUCUGAACCUAAGCUUCGCACUUCUUGAAGAACAUGAUGAUGACAGGAAGCUCCAGUUUCUAAUGCAGGCUAGAAGCCUUGCUGCUCAGUUAAUAAUGGGUAAUUGUGUCUCCUGGAAAGGAGAAAAAAGGGUGCUCAGGCCCAACCAUCCUUAUUUGUAGCUGUGGCUGCGCUUCAUUGCGUCUUCUGUAAAUGCUGAGCUGCUUGCCUGCUUGUACAGUAAUAUUAAGGGGACAACUAUUUUGGUCAAAAUAGAGAAGACAAAUUCCUUGCUUUGUAUCAUUCAGAUGACGGUAGUGUUCAAGUUGGCCUGGAGAGCUUCAUCUUGACUGGUUCAGUUGCCAAUUCGCUGCAGCCUACAGUCACUGGUAUAAUGAGAACCUGCUCAUGGAAGUUGGAGUAGAUGGGCUUACACCAAGUGUAGUGGCUGGAUUUAAGAAUUCUAUUCUUAUUCCUCUCGUGUCCAAGUAUUCCCUAUUGCCCAUCAAUUUUCAAUAGUUGUAGACAGAAGCUAAUCUGUCUUAGGCCCAUGGUAGUCUGCUGCUCUUUCCAGAGAUUGCACCAGCAUAAACCAGUGGUUCAGUAUCAUGAUGCGUCUAAAGUCAUCCUUUUGCGAGCAUUUCAUCAUUUUCCUUUAUCAAUUAAGUUAAAAGCUGUAUACAUCUGAAUGAACAGAUAACUGUUGGCCUGGAUGCAUAUGAGGUAACUUCACCUGAUCUUCUUCCAUGCUGAUUCUAACUAUGAUAUGAUUUUGUUAGUACAAUGGUGACCGAGCUGCAAUACAAGAAUACAGGAAGAUGUAAAAAAAAUGACGAGUUCAUGUAUGUUCUAUAUUUGAGAAGGAUAUUAGUAAAAGCAA
RNA transcript from Nicotiana attenuata, 4289 nucleotides. It is a transcript of the gene named DNA mismatch repair protein MSH3, with no coding region annotated. The transcript is spliced from 15 exons. The record is from RefSeq and is a predicted model, not a curated record. NCBI's taxonomy places the organism in Eukaryota, Viridiplantae, Streptophyta, Magnoliopsida, Solanales, Solanaceae.